This 220-nucleotide unclassified non-coding RNA is filed under the name Hevea brasiliensis (rubber tree). Lineage: Eukaryota; Viridiplantae; Streptophyta; Magnoliopsida; Malpighiales; Euphorbiaceae. The record is from RNAcentral.
GAAAGAUCAAAGUUCUCACCAAACUCAUUCUAGAUUUUUGUUUGAAACCUAUCGAGUGGCUCCACGACCUCAUGGGAAUGCAUUGGCAUAUGUAAAUGCUGCGUUCCAGGCUGAUGUUUCUCACUGCAAUAACGGAGUCCUGAUAAACAAUAUCCAUUUGGCGUUUGGUGCGUAUGGCACAAGACAUGCAACAAGGGCAAAAAAGGUAGAAGAAUGCCUA